UGGGGAAUAUUGCACAAUGGGCGCAAGCCUGAUGCAGCCAUGCCCGUGUAUGAAGAAGGCCUUCGGGUUGUAAAGUACUUUCAGCGGGGAGGAAGGUGUUGAGGCUAAUAACCUCAGCAAUUGACGUUACCCGCAGAAGAAGCACCGGCUAACUCCGUGCCAGCAGCCGCGGUAAUACGGAGGGUGCAAGCGUUAAUCGGAAUUACUGGGCGUAAAGCGCACGCAGGCGGUGUGUCAAGUCGGAUGUGAAAUCCCCGGGCUCAACCUGGGAACUGCAUUCGAAACUGGCAGGCUAGAGUCUUGUAGAGGGGGGUAGAAUUCCAGGUGUAGCGGUGAAAUGCGUAGAGAUCUGGAGGAAUACCGGUGGCGAAGGCGGCCCCCUGGACAAAGACUGACGCUCAGGUGCGAAAGCGUGGGGAGCAAACA
This 426-nucleotide ribosomal RNA is filed under the name uncultured bacterium. Its description in RNAcentral is "partial 16S ribosomal RNA". It matches the Rfam family "Bacterial small subunit ribosomal RNA", at positions 355 to 774 of the family's 1533-position model. The record is from RNAcentral.